RNAcentral lists this unclassified non-coding RNA (884 nucleotides) under Schistocerca americana (American grasshopper). Its description in RNAcentral is "gATA zinc finger domain-containing protein 1, transcript variant X1". The record is from RNAcentral. Lineage: Eukaryota; Metazoa; Arthropoda; Insecta; Orthoptera; Acrididae.
UCUAAACUCCUUGCAUCAAAGUGACAAUCGGUAUUUGUUUUGUUAUGGUGGAAUGUCAGAUGAUACAAUGCCGUUGGGCAUAAAGCCUGAGUGCUAUAAGUGUAAUGUAACUGAAAGUAAACUUUGGAAACAGACAGCCGAUGGCUUCGUGUGUGCGGACUGUUGUGAUUUGGUAACUAAGACCUCUUGCCCUCCCAAGAAUGAAGACAUUGCUUCACAGUCGUCGAAGUCCCAAGAAACAGCGCCACGUAUUGCAACUCGUAAGAGUACAAGAAGUACGCGGAAUUACAAAACAAGAUUAAAUCCAUACGCUCUUCCGAAGCCUCUUACUCCAAAGGGUAAAGGGAGGCGUGUUAUCUUCAAGAAAACCCCAACCAAAGCACCUACGGCAGUUGCUACACCUGUGACAAGCAAUUACGUAUUUUACAAGGGUAGCUAUUUCCAGGUUGGGGACAUAGUCUCUGUGCAGGACAUUGAUGGUGGAUUAUAUUAUGCCCAAAUAAGAGGUCUCCUUACAGAUCAGUACUGUGAAAAAAGCUGUGUUCUGACGUGGCUCAUUCCUACCACUGCCAGUCCUGAUCCCAAUGAGGGGUUCGAUCCCUCAACCUACAUAAUUGUUAUGCACAUCAUCAUUCCUUUCGAACUGCGGUGGAUUGUUUACAACAAUCUUCAUAGUAGAAUAGAUGUGGUGUGAAGCAGUAAUCACAAUACCCAGUUUCUUAAACAGAUGUCUGUAGGAUGAUCAUGGGUCCUGAUGAGGAGCUACCAAGACUCUUGUCGUGCAUGGAAUUUGUUAUGCAUGCGCCAUCAGAUUAUUAUAAAAAUCGCAAAUCCCCAUAUCCUUCUGUAGAUUAUGAUAGUAAUGAUCCAAAUUUCAUAUGGAC